RNAcentral lists this ribosomal RNA (920 nucleotides) under Tremella dendrographae. RNAcentral's name for it is "eukaryotic LSU rRNA". It matches the Rfam family "Eukaryotic large subunit ribosomal RNA", at positions 1 to 950 of the family's 3401-position model. Lineage: Eukaryota; Fungi; Basidiomycota; Tremellomycetes; Tremellales; Tremellaceae. The record is from RNAcentral.
GACCUCAAAUCAGGUAGGGCUACCCGCUGAACUUAAGCAUAUCAAUAAGCGGAGGAAAAGAAACUAACAAGGAUUCCCCUAGUAACGGCGAGUGAACAGGGAGGAGCUCAAAUUUGAAAUCUGGCGUCCUCAGGACGUCCGAAUUGUAAUCUAUAGAGACGUUUUCCGUGCCGGACCGUGUCCAAGUCCCUUGGAACAGGGUAUCAAAGAGGGUGACAAUCCCGUACUUGACACGAUGACCGGUGCUCUGUGAUACGUCUUCUACGAGUCGAGUUGUUUGGGAAUGCAGCUCAAAAUGGGUGGUGAGUUCCAUCUAAGGCUAAAUAUUGGCGAGAGACCGAUAGCGAACAAGUACCGUGAGGGAAAGAUGAAAAGCACUUUGGAAAGAGAGUUAAACUCAGUCGUGUCCAAGGGGUUCAGCCGGUCCUGCCGGUGUAUUCCCUUUGGACGGGUCAACAUCAGUUUUGUCCGGUGGACAAUGGAGAUGGGAAGGUGGCACCCUCGGGUGUGUUAUAGCCUGUCGCCGCAUACAUCGGACGAGACUGAGGAACGCAGCUCGCGCAUCAGCGCCGGGGUUCGCCCACGUCCGAGCUUAGGAUGUUGACAUAAUGGCUUUAAACGACCCGUCUUGAAACACGGACCAAGGAGUCUAACAUACCUGCAAGUGUUCGGGUGUCAAACCCGAGCGCGCAAUGAAAGUGAACGUAGGAGGGAUCUGCAAGGAGCACCUUCGACCAAUCCGGACCUUCUGUGAUGGAUUUGAGUAAGAGCAUGUAUGCUGGGACCCGAAAGAUGGUGAACUAUGCCUGAAUAGGGCGAAGCCAGGGGAAACUCUGGUGGAGGCUCGUAGCGAUUCUGACGUGCAAAUCGAUCGUCAAAUUUGGGUAGAGGGGCGAAAGACUAAUCGAACCAUCUAGUAG